This 374-nucleotide ribosomal RNA is filed under the name uncultured organism. RNAcentral's name for it is "partial 16S ribosomal RNA". It matches the Rfam family "Bacterial small subunit ribosomal RNA", at positions 527 to 896 of the family's 1533-position model. The record is from RNAcentral.
GUAGGUGGCAAGCGUUGUCCGGAAUUAUCGGGCGUAAAGCGCGCGCAGGCGGUUCUUUAAGUCUGAUGUGAAAGCCCACGGCUCAACCGUGGAGGGUCAUUGGAAACUGGAGAACUUGAGUACAGAAGAGGAAAGCGGAAUUCCACGUGUAGCGGUGAAAUGCGUAGAGAUGUGGAGGAACACCAGUGGCGAAGGCGGCUUUCUGGUCUGUAACUGACGCUGAGGCGCGAAAGCGUGGGGAGCAAACAGGAUUAGAUACCCUGGUAGUCCACGCCGUAAACGAUGAGUGCUAAGUGUUAGGGGGGUUUUCCGCCCCCCUUAGUGCUGCAGCUAACGCAUUAAGCACUCCGCCUGGGAGUACGGCCGCAAGGCUG